RNAcentral lists this ribosomal RNA (442 nucleotides) under uncultured bacterium. Its description in RNAcentral is "partial 16S ribosomal RNA". It matches the Rfam family "Bacterial small subunit ribosomal RNA", at positions 338 to 795 of the family's 1533-position model. The record is from RNAcentral.
CCUACGGGGGGCAGCAGUGGGGAAUAUUGGGCAAUGGGCGCAAGCCUGACCCAGCAAUGCAGCGUGAAGGAAGAAGGCUUUCGGGUUGUAAACUUCUUUGACAGUGGAAGUGCAGAAGACGGUACCCUGAAAACAAGCCACGGCUAACUACGUGCCAGCAGCCGCGGUAAUACGUAGGUGGCAAGCGUUGGCCGGAUUUACUGGGUGUAAAGGGCGUGUAGCCGGGAAGGCAAGUCAGAUGUGAAAUCUGGAGGCUCAACCUCCAAAUUGCAUUUGAAACUGUUUGUCUUGAGUACUGGAGAGGCAGACGGAAUUCGUGGUGUAGCGGUGAAAUGCGUAGAUAUAAGGAGGAACACCAGUGGAGAAGGCGGUCUGCUGGACAGCAACUGACGGUGAGGCGCGAAAGCGUGGGGAGCAAACAGGAUUAGAUACCCCAGUAGUC